This 253-nucleotide ribosomal RNA is filed under the name uncultured bacterium. RNAcentral describes it as "partial 16S ribosomal RNA". It matches the Rfam family "Bacterial small subunit ribosomal RNA", at positions 524 to 776 of the family's 1533-position model. The record is from RNAcentral.
UACGGAGGGUGCUAGCGUUGUUCGGAAUCACUGGGCGUAAAGCGCGUGUAGGCGGUCCGUUAAGUCUGAUGUGAAAGCCCGGGGCUCACCCCCGGAAGUGCAUUGGAAACUGACGAACUCGAGUCCCGGAGAGGAGGGUGGAAUUCCUGGUGUAGCGGUGAAAUGCGUAGAUAUCAGGAGGAACACCGGUGGCGAAGGCGGCGCUCUGGACGGUGACUGACGCUGAGACGCGAAAGCGUGGGGAGCAAACAGG